RNAcentral lists this long non-coding RNA (2317 nucleotides) under Lynx pardinus (Iberian lynx). Lineage: Eukaryota; Metazoa; Chordata; Mammalia; Carnivora; Felidae. The record is from RNAcentral.
GUUGAAGGUGUCACAACACCUGCUGUUGUCACAACAGCACCAGGAUGCUGCUGAUGUGUGGCAUAUUCACACUUUGUGACAAAGUCAGAAGGCUCACAACUCCUCUGAAAAGAUGGGCUCUUAAGGGGAACUCUGGUUUCUGGUGUUUAUUUUACUUUUUCUUUUAUCAAAACAAGAGGGGCAGGCAUAAAGGGGGUGGGGGAUGAAAUGAACACAAGAAGGAAAGUAGCUGUAAUGUAGAUUUAAAAAAAAAAACACUGGAAAUUGUUUAGAAACCACAAGUUAAGUAGGGGCGAGAUGGGAGAGAGAUUCUUACAUUUCCGACAGCAUCAUCACUGUCAGUGGCCUGCCACACUGGUGCUGACCACGGCCUUGGUGGACAGGUAGCCAGUGGGGACAGGUGGUCUCUGCAGAGUCCAGCUUCUGGACAGAGGGGGAUCUGGCUGUGCCAUUGGCCUUUUGUUUCCUGCCUGCAAAGCCCUUGGCCUGAGUCACUAUAUUCAAGGCACAUCACCACAGUCAUUUAGAGUGGGAACAAGGAUAACAUUCCCUCCAAUGGGCUAAAAUCUUUUCACAAAAGGAGUAGGUCCUGAGCAAAGCAGAGAUGCAAAAGCUGGGAUGGAAAGCUAGUUGUGUUGGGUGUGAGAAGUGCCAUCAGCUGAAUACUUCCCUCAGUGCACACAGAACUGAUGGUCUAUGGGUUGUUACUUAUUCACACUCAAACCAGCCAUCAUCAGGCCUAGCUGGUGUUGUGUGCUCAGAAAAUGCAAAUCAGUGCUCACUUCGGCAGCACAUAUACUAAAAAAAAGAAAAUGCAAAUUAGUUUGACCACCAGCCUAAGUAAAACAUAAUCCCUAAAGAAUCUGUUUGGUUAAAAAAAAAAACGAUACCACGUGUUGUGAUGAAUGUUGGAAUAUCUCCCUUAUCAUUGGAUCAAGAGCCAAGUGUAUUUUAAAAGGUUCCAAGGCAUAAAAAAACAUACUCAAGCAUUAUUCACAAAAGCCAAAAGGCAGAAACAAUGGAAGUGGCAAUAGGUGGAUGAAUGGAUACGCGAAAUGUGGUAUGUGCAUACAGUAGAGUAUCAUUCAGCUUUAAAAAGAAGUGGAAUCCUGUUGCUCCAACUUGAGGACACUGUGCUAAGUAAAGUAAGCCAGUCACAAAGAAACAAAUAUUGUAUAAUUCCACUUAUGGGAGGCUCCUGAAGAAGUCAAAUUCACAGAGACAGAAAGUGGAAUGGUGGUCGCCAGGAGCUGGGGCAUCAGGAAAUGGGAGUCAUUGUGGGGUGGGUACAGAUUCUCAGUUUUGCAAGAUGAGGAAGUUCUGGAGAUUGGUUGCACAACAGUAGGAAUGUACCUAACACCACUGAACUUUACAUCUGAAAAGGUUAAGAUGGUAAAUUUUAGGUUAUGUGUAUGUCACCACAAUUAAAAUGUAAAAAAAACAAAAAACAAAAAACCAGCAACAAAAACCCCCCAAAAACCACUUAAAUGAGGGAUGGGUGAGAGAAGGGAAAAGGGAUGGGGGUGGGGCAGUGGCUAACAGAUUAAAAUCUGUUGAGAGAUUCUGAGUUUCUGCUGGGUUGCCCUGUCAGUCCCCAGGCUCCCAGGCUCUGGGCCGCCCUGUCUCCUGAGUGUCGAGCUUUCCCCUGUUCCCUAAGGAAGGAAAGGCGGCCAGCAAUGUAAUUCUUUUCUGCGUUGAUCUCAGAUACCACUUUUAGCAUCUCAUUCCUGUCUUCCCUAGAAUGGGGGUCUUACGGACACCAUCCACACUUCCACUGAUGUCAUGGCUUAAAAGAAAUACAAAGUCGUACUUCCUCAGGAAAAUGCUGGAGGUCUUGGAUUUAAGUCAAUGACACGAGAAAGGACUUCCUCCCCAGCAGCUGCUCCCAUCCCUGGAUCUCACCUUAGCCUUGCGCUUGCUGUCAUCCAUGAUCAUUUUCCAGUCUGAGCCAUUGUUGCUGUACCCGAUCUUGAAUUUCCUCAUGAACACCUUGUUUUCCCUGUGCUUCCCCCCCUGAAUGAUGAUGCCCCUCACAAUCUUCUCUUCCCCCAGGUCCACUUGGAGCCACUCGUUUAUGUAUGGGUGAGGAGCAGGUGGCAGUGCCCAGCCGGAGCGACUGGUUACCAGGCGAAUAUUUUCAGGCAUCCAGUUUCUGUCCCCUUGGUUUGAUGCUGUUAUCUGGGAGUCAGAGAUAAGUCCAGACACCAUACCCAACAUGCCAGAGCAAGGAUAAUCUAGAGGGUGGAAUGAAAUAGAUGAUGUAAAAUGAUUUUCUAUAACUCUCCAUGCUUAGAAAGAGAAUACCACAGACUGAAUA